CCUACGGGCGGCAGCAGUAGGGAAUCUUCCACAAUGGGCGAAAGCCUGAUGGAGCAACGCCGCGUGGGUGAAGAAGGUCUUCGGAUCGUAAAACCCUGUUGUUAGAGAAGAAAGUGCGUGAGAGUAACUGUUCACGUUUCGACGGUAUCUAACCAGAAAGCCACGGAUAACUACGUGCACGCAGCCGCGGUAAUACGUAGGUGGCAAGCGUUAUCCGGAUUUAUUGGGCGUAAAGAGAACGCAGGCGGUCUUUUAAGUCUGAUGUGAAAGCCUUCGGCUUAACCGGAGUAGGGCAUUGGAAACUGGGAGACUUGAGUGCAGAAGAGGAGAGUGGAACUCCAUGUGUAGCGGUGAAAUGCGUAGAUAUAUGGAAGAACACCAGUGGCGAAAGCGGCUCUCUGGUCUGUAACUGACGCUGAGGUUCGAAAGCGUGGGUAGCAAACAGGAUUAGAUACCCUUGUAGUC
Molecule: ribosomal RNA, 465 nt
Filed under: uncultured bacterium
Lineage: Bacteria
Description: partial 16S ribosomal RNA
Rfam family: Bacterial small subunit ribosomal RNA
Source: RNAcentral